Molecule: long non-coding RNA, 808 nt
Organism: Leopardus geoffroyi (Geoffroy's cat)
Lineage: Eukaryota; Metazoa; Chordata; Mammalia; Carnivora; Felidae
Exons: 2
Source: RefSeq, a predicted model, not a curated record
GUUUCUUUCUUUUCCCAUGAGAGCCCACUUCCCAGAAGGAGGCCCGUUCUCGGGACAGCGCAUCAGGUGAAAGUGGUUCCCCUCCUGAAGGGGAAGGCCAGGCUUACCCACAGAUGGCCCCGGGCUUUCGUCCAUGAUUCCCAAGUGACAAAACAGGGAAGGCGGACAAAACAAACACUCCCCUUCCCGCCAAGAAACAAUGUGAGAAAGGCAAGGUGGCUUUUGAAAACCCGCACUGGACGUAAAACUUGUCAACUUCGCAACAAAAGUUUUUGUUUGAAACCCCUCGGUAAGCUGUUGUCCAUUGAUGAAGACUUGCCUCAGGGCCAGCUAGAGCAAUUUAUUUUAACCCUGUAAUUCCCUUUUGAGCUCAUAGUUCCUGUUAAUUAACUCAUGAGCCUCAACAUUUCUGUCAUCAGGCUCAUGCUUUUGGAGGAUAAGUAUUUUCUAGCCGUCCUUUGGGGUUUUUCAAAAUAGAUUGCGUAUUUCAAAGUGAAGCAAAAGGAACUUGUAGAUAAGAAAGAUGGUAAACUGUUCUUGGUGACUUCACUCCGACUGAGGGCUCGUGGAAAUUAUACCGCCCAGUGAGAUAAUUCACGGUUUGUGCGUGCCGGAGGAAGGCACAGUUUGUCUUAACGGAUUGUUUUGGGAAUCCCAGGGUUUUUAGCAGAGAGCAUUAGACUUCUUGGUUUUAUGAUGCAAUUUUCAUUUUUAUGUUAGUUAUUUUAAAAUGGUUUCAACAAAUACUUAGAAAUUACUACUAGUUAACCAACAGCUUCAACUAUUUAUUAAAACCUGUCUCAUUCCA